ACGAACGCUGGCGGCAGGCCUAACACAUGCAAGUCGAGCGCUACCUUCGGAUAUGAGUAGAGCGGCGGACGGGUGAGUAACGCGUAGGAAUCUACCUAGUAGAAGGGGAUAGCCCGGGGAAACUCGGAUUAAUACCGUAUACCUCCUUCGGGAGAAAGAAGGCCUCUCUUUGAAGCUUUCGCUACUAGAUGAGCCUGCGUAAGAUUAGCUUGUUGGUGAGGUAAAGGCUCACCAAGGCUACGAUCUUUAGCGGGUCUGAGAGGACGAUCCGCCACAUUGGGACUGAGACACGGCCCAGACUCCUACGGGAGGCAGCAGUGGGGAAUAUUUGG
RNAcentral lists this ribosomal RNA (332 nucleotides) under uncultured Oceanospirillales bacterium. RNAcentral's name for it is "SSU rRNA". It matches the Rfam family "Bacterial small subunit ribosomal RNA", at positions 29 to 368 of the family's 1533-position model. The record is from RNAcentral. Lineage: Bacteria; Pseudomonadati; Pseudomonadota; Gammaproteobacteria; Oceanospirillales.